AGUUCGGAGGGUCUCUGCGUCUCUGGGGUUUCUAUCACUGCUCCUUCCAGCCCUCAAGCGGCUACUCCGAAGAAUGACGAAGGGCCCUACUUGCGUAGAUUCGUGGGAUGAUUUUACCAAGAAGGAAAAGGGGGAAAAGAAAUCACAAUUAUUGAGGGUCCAGCCUUGGUCAGAUUCCGUGUCAGACCCUUCCAACUUGACAUUAUUGACUCUUCACAACUCUUCAUUUUGUAGUCCAGGAAGCAGGCUCCGAGAGACUGCCUAGAAAAAACAGCACCCGGAUCUGAAUUCGAGGCCGUCCCACACCCAUCCCGGUACGGUUCCCAGCAGAACUGAGCUGGAGUGGCCCUGAUGCAAAUGAACUUAGAUCCCAGCUGCUUGUGAUGGAAGCCAAUCCCAGCUUUCCCAAGCUUACAGGUUUUUUCCAGAAGAAGCCAACUUGAUCUCCCGGAACACGAAUUCAGCAGGCUCUCAUCUCAGAACUGCCUCCAAUCCAUCCCAUACCCCUUCACACUUCAGUCCUUGGUAUUUUCUCCGAUCACACCUUCCACUCCUCCUUCAUAUUUGCAAGUCUCUCCCUGCAGAAUCUGCCCCGAGGAGCAAAGGACAUUUUUCCAUGGGGAACAGAAUUUUAGAAUUUCCCUUUGUACCCAGUGAGGAACAAAGCUCUGGAAUUUUUACACAGAUUUCUAUUUCCCUGUGGAAGCACUGGAAAGGAAAUGUCAUUCUCACUUUGAAGAGGAAGAGGGAUGCAGCAAGGUAAUAAACGCUUUCUAAAUAAG
This 782-nucleotide long non-coding RNA is filed under the name Homo sapiens (human). RNAcentral's name for it is "HSALNT0145849". Lineage: Eukaryota; Metazoa; Chordata; Mammalia; Primates; Hominidae. The record is from RNAcentral.